Molecule: ribosomal RNA, 497 nt
Filed under: uncultured bacterium
Lineage: Bacteria
Description: partial 16S ribosomal RNA
Rfam family: Bacterial small subunit ribosomal RNA
Source: RNAcentral
GAUGAACGCUGGCGGCGUGCCUAAUACAUGCAAGUCGAGCGAACGGGCGAGAAGCUUGCUUCUCUGAUGUUAGCGGCGGACGGGUGAGUAACACGUGGAUAACCUACCUAUAAGACUGGGAUAACUUCGGGAAACCGGAGCUAAUACCGGAUGAUAUUUUGAACCGCAUGGUUCAAAAGUGAAAGACGGUCUUGCUGUCACUUAUAGAUGGAUCCGCGCUGCAUUAGCUAGUUGGUAAGGUAACGGCUUACCAAGGCAACGAUGCAUAGCCGACCUGAGAGGGUGAUCGGCCACACUGGAACUUGGCCACGGUCCUUACUCCUACGGGAGGCAGCAGUAGGGAAUCGGCCGCAAUGGGCGAAAGCCUUACGGAGCAGCGCCGCGUGAGUGAUGAAGGUCUUCGGAUCGUAAUACUCUGUUAUUAGUGAAGAACAUAUGUGUAAGUAACUGUGCACAGCUUGACGGUACCUAAUCAGAAAGCCACGGCUAACUACGUG